This 1581-nucleotide long non-coding RNA is filed under the name Amphibalanus amphitrite. Its description in RNAcentral is "uncharacterized LOC122378050". Lineage: Eukaryota; Metazoa; Arthropoda; Thecostraca; Balanomorpha; Balanidae. The record is from RNAcentral.
AAACACAUUUUAGAACUUAUACUGAUAGUACUCACCUGAGCACCUUCGAUGGUUUCCAUUUUGCCGCUUUGAGGAAUUGGUCUUUCCCGAGAACUGUGCAUGGUCUCCACUUCGGUUUCAGGAGUGGAUUUGGUCUUGACCGAGAUAGUUUAGUACUGUAAGUUGUCUAGCUACCCGUGUAACGCAAACAGUCGGUCUGCGGUGAGAUUCGAACCAGCAGUCAUUCGGUCAGAAAGGAUGGUAAACUUCUCACUUUUUUCCUUAUAGUUCUCGCAGCUGACGUGUUUUGACGACAGAUGUCAGCACAGAAGGAAACUAAAGGCGUAGGUGGCGCUGUGUUAAGAGUAGAGCAGUUUGAAGUGCUGCGAUUCCAUUUUCGCUUAGGAAAAUAGCAAUUAUUGAUAAAAAUAAAACAUAUAUUUUUCAGUAGAAGAAAUAAUUUUUAAUGAAAAAGAGCCUUACUAUAUGACACGAUGUUUAUCGAUUUUAACAGUUCAAACCACUUUAAAUGGAUAUCCCUAAGGAACAUCUCUAUAAUGCCUCAGUGCUUCCGGCCCUUCCUUUUUCUCGAAAGCACUGCGAAGGCUGCCGGCAGCGUGGUUGUUCCUUUCGCGAGUUGGUGUCUGGCGCACAGCGCGAACGUCUCAUGAGCAAGAAGCCGUAGAGACGAUGCUCUCAAUGUGUGACACCGAAGUGAGGCAACUCAUCGGGCACAACGCCAAAAUGUCCCUGUUGUGUCCUGGCCUGGGUCACGCGUGUCGCGCCUUGACAGCCGUGACCUUGAACGACCUUGACCGGCCGGGCCGGGCCGAGCGGCCGAGGGUCAGUAUCGUCCGAGCGGCGCUGGUGUCAACACAGCUGAGUGCCGCGAGGUGAGGUGAGGCGUGUUCGCCGAGACGGUCCGGCCACAGUGAAAUAGUGAAAUAGUGGUGUAAUCGAUAAUAUGCGUGGCCAGUACGCGAGUGAGAUUGACCCUGUGCGCGACACCGAUUCAGAGACGCACAUAAGUUAACACCGUCGUGUCGGAUCGCUCGUACCGGUGAUGGGAGACAACGAGCAGCUGGAGCGUCUAAUGGCGCUCAUGGUUCAGCAGUCAGCAGGCUGCCAUGCUGGAGUAGCUCCUCCCCAGCCAGAUGUACCAGCUGCGCAAACUGUCUAGAGCGGCCAACCGGCUGUCGUCGCCUCCGCCGCUCCUAUGGCUAGACUUCGGUCUCGCAUGGACUCCCGUCGGUAGUGUUCACAUGCCAGCCCAUACAUUUUACCUGUAUUAACUUUUUAAUGUCUGUGCCUGUGUAACUAUUGUACGUGCCUGUACUUAACAGUGUUUGAAUUGUACAUCGUUCGCACAGUCUGUGGACCGUGGGGAGCGCCGCUUGACAUGCAUUUUUGCACUUACCUGCAUUCCGUGUUAAAAGUAAAGUAAAGGGACUGAGCUGUCGUGCACCGGGAGAUAUUAUGGUCUCUUGCUAAACGACUCAGUUGAAACUCAGCACGCCGGUCGGUACUGACUGGGGCGGCACGCGAAAGGGUUUGGGCAGCUUUUGAAACAAAAUGUUCGCAUCGAAUGACUGCAUCGCAUGU